GAAUUCGAUUAACGCGAAGAACCUUACCCAGGCUGGACGUGCAGGUAGUAGAAGGGUGAAAGCCCAACGAGGUAGCAAUACCAUCCUGCUCAGGUGCUGCAUGGCUGUCGUCAGCUCGUGCCGUGAGAUGUUGGGUUAAGUCCCGCAACGAGCGCAACCCUCGUCUUUAGUUGCCAUCAUUUAGUUGGGCACUCUAAAGAAACCGCCGGUGAUAAGCCGGAGGAAGGUGGGGAUGACGUCAAGUCCUCAUGGCCCUUACGCGCUGGGCUACACACGUGCUACAAUGGCGGUGACAACGGGCAGCCACUCCGCGAGGAGGAGCUAAUCCCAAAGAGCCGUCUCAGUUCGGAUCGUUCUCUGCAACUCGAGAGCGUGAAGGCGGAAUCGCUAGUAAUCGCGGAUCAGCAUGCCGCGGUGAAUACGUUCCCGGGCCUUGUCACACCGAAUCACUA
RNAcentral lists this ribosomal RNA (452 nucleotides) under uncultured soil bacterium. RNAcentral's name for it is "bacterial SSU rRNA". It matches the Rfam family "Bacterial small subunit ribosomal RNA", at positions 947 to 1384 of the family's 1533-position model. The record is from RNAcentral.